RNAcentral lists this long non-coding RNA (900 nucleotides) under Panax ginseng (ginseng). RNAcentral describes it as "long non-coding RNA (PGIN_LNC009146)". Lineage: Eukaryota; Viridiplantae; Streptophyta; Magnoliopsida; Apiales; Araliaceae. The record is from RNAcentral.
UAUGGUAUACUAGGUCCAUAUAUAAGAUUGGCACUAAUAGUUGCAAAAACCGACCAAGUGUGAUUGCUAAUUUGGUGUAUAUAUCUUGUCUAAUAUUCCUUUCCUCCUACCCCAAUAAAAAUCUAAGUUCAAAAAUGAGCUGAUGCUUGGUAAGGCCUGUGCUGUAUAUCAACCCAACUUUAACCUUCCUCCACACGAGUAGUAAAUGUUCUGUUUUCAGUGGAUUUUUUGGGCCUACUUCACUUUCCAAUAGUUACUGAAGAAUAUAUACAGUCGUAAGAAUACAUACUGAUAUUUGAGUUUGAUCAACUUAUUGUUUCAUCUUAUGCAGAUAAUCAAUCGACAGCAACCUUUCUGCAAAAUCCUAAAGGACUACAAAAUGUGAUUCUAGCUAGUCUAGCUAUGGAGAAAAAUCAAAGAGCAGCAGAGACUAUUGACAAUUCGGAAUCAUUUUAUACCAUGCACUUCUACAAAGUGAAGGCUACUGUUCAUGCAUUGUACUUUUACAACCUUUACGUCACUUUCAUUCCCACUUUCAGCUCAAGAAUAUAUAUAUAUAUAUAUAUAUAUAUAUAUAUAUGGGUUCCGUCCACAGAAACCGGUUGUUGUGGAGCAACCCAUUUUUAAGCCUUGUGUCAAUUUUUUUUUUACUCCAACCGCUACAACACAAGGCUAAAAAAGAGGUUGUUCCACAGCAACCGAUUGCUGUGGAUGGAACCUAUAUAUAUAUAUAUAUAUAUAUAUGAAUCUUCAUCCGUAUCAACCCGGUUGCCAUGACAACCAUAAUCUUAAUUGUUGAUCCUCAUAAUAAAAAGGUUGAAAUUAAAAGCAAUAUAUAUGUUGUUUUUAGAUAUUAGUAUUUGAAUAUGUGUAUGCCAUAAAUUGAUGCACUUAAUUUGG